CGGUAAUACGGAGGAUCCAAGCGUUAUCCGGAAUCAUUGGGUUUAAAGGGUCCGUAGGCGGUCAGAUAAGUCAGUGGUGAAAGCCCAUCGCUCAACGGUGGAACGGCCAUUGAUACUGUCUGACUUGAAUUAUUAGGAAGUAACUAGAAUAUGUAGUGUAGCGGUGAAAUGCUUAGAGAUUACAUGGAAUACCAAUUGCGAAGGCAGGUUACUACUAAUAUAUUGACGCUGAUGGACGAAAGCGUGGGUAGCGAACAGGAUUAGAUACCCUGGUAGUCCACGCCGUAAACGAUGGAUACUAGCUGUUGGGAGCAAUCUCAGUGGCUAAGCGAAAGUGAUAAGUAUCCCACCUGGGGAGUACGAACGCAAGUUUGAA
This 376-nucleotide ribosomal RNA is filed under the name uncultured bacterium. RNAcentral describes it as "bacterial SSU rRNA". It matches the Rfam family "Bacterial small subunit ribosomal RNA", at positions 518 to 898 of the family's 1533-position model. The record is from RNAcentral.